GAAAAGCUGGGCAAAAGGCUGAGAAAGCAAAGGCUGCUACUCCCAUGGCUAUCCCGGCUGCUAAGCCUGCUAAGCUGAUUAAGGAUGUGAAACCCAAAGAAGAUGGUGACGAUGAAUCAGAUGAUGAAGAUGACUCAGAUGAUGAGAUGGUUGAUGGAGAUGAUUCUGAUGAGGUAGCUAUCACUUUCUUGGUGUGAAAUGUCUUUUUAGCAGUAUUCCUUGUUAUCAGAAAAUUUAAUGGCAUUUUUUUACGUCGAGUAGAUUUCUGGUGAGGAUGAUUCUGAUGAUGACGACGAGGAUGAUUCAGAAGAUGAUGAAGACUCAGAUGAAGAUGAGAAGACACCUAAGAAG
This 351-nucleotide long non-coding RNA is filed under the name Citrus maxima (pomelo). RNAcentral's name for it is "long non-coding RNA (CMAX_LNC003488)". The record is from RNAcentral. Lineage: Eukaryota; Viridiplantae; Streptophyta; Magnoliopsida; Sapindales; Rutaceae.